This is a long non-coding RNA of Chinchilla lanigera (long-tailed chinchilla), 250 nucleotides long. RefSeq lists it as uncharacterized. The record is from RefSeq and is a predicted model, not a curated record. The transcript has 3 exons. NCBI's taxonomy places the organism in Eukaryota, Metazoa, Chordata, Mammalia, Rodentia, Chinchillidae.
AGAAGCUCUAAGGCAGAAUGCUUUCCUCAUGCUUUUCAGCUUCUUACUGCUGCUGGCAUCCCAUAGCUUGUGCCGUAUUAAACAACUGGAAAAAGAAAAAGAAAAACCACAUAGUCCCUGUUCUGAAGGAAUUGGCAAGGACAACAUCAAAGAGGAUAUGCAAGAAAUUCAGGAAGUGCUAAAGUAAAGUUUCCUCCACCCUCAGAAAGCACCUACUUCACCAUAUCUGAGGUCUAUACAGAGCUUCAGA